Molecule: ribosomal RNA, 2902 nt
Filed under: Escherichia coli
Lineage: Bacteria; Pseudomonadati; Pseudomonadota; Gammaproteobacteria; Enterobacterales; Enterobacteriaceae
Description: bacterial LSU rRNA
Rfam family: Bacterial large subunit ribosomal RNA
Source: RNAcentral
UUAAGCGACUAAGCGUACACGGUGGAUGCCCUGGCAGUCAGAGGCGAUGAAGGACGUGCUAAUCUGCGAUAAGCGUCGGUGAGGUGAUAUGAACCGUUAUAACCGGCGAUUUCCGAAUGGGGAAACCCAGUGUGUUUCGACACACUAUCAUUAACUGAAUCCAUAGGUUAAUGAGGCGAACCGGGGGAACUGAAACAUCUAAGUACCCCGAGGAAAAGAAAUCAACCGAGAUUCCCCCAGUAGCGGCGAGCGAACGGGGAGGAGCCCAGAGCCUGAAUCAGUGUGUGUGUUAGUGGAAGCGUCUGGAAAGGCGCGCGAUACAGGGUGACAGCCCCGUACACAAAAAUGCACAUAUUGUGAGCUCGAUGAGUAGGGCGGGACACGUGGUAUCCUGUCUGAAUAUGGGGGGACCAUCCUCCAAGGCUAAAUACUCCUGACUGACCGAUAGUGAACCAGUACCGUGAGGGAAAGGCGAAAAGAACCCCGGCGAGGGGAGUGAAAAAGAACCUGAAACCGUGUACGUACAAGCAGUGGGAGCCUCUUAAUGGGGUGACUGCGUACCUUUUGUAUAAUGGGUCAGCGACUUAUAUUCUGUAGCAAGGUUAACCGAAUAGGGGAGCCGAAGGGAAACCGAGUCUUAACUGGGCGUUAAGUUGCAGGGUAUAGACCCGAAACCCGGUGAUCUAGCCAUGGGCAGGUUGAAGGUUGGGUAACACUAACUGGAGGACCGAACCGACUAAUGUUGAAAAAUUAGCGGAUGACUUGUGGCUGGGGGUGAAAGGCCAAUCAAACCGGGAGAUAGCUGGUUCUCCCCGAAAGCUAUUUAGGUAGCGCCUCGUGAAUUCAUCUCCGGGGGUAGAGCACUGUUUCGGCAAGGGGGUCAUCCCGACUUACCAACCCGAUGCAAACUGCGAAUACCGGAGAAUGUUAUCACGGGAGACACACGGCGGGUGCUAACGUCCGUCGUGAAGAGGGAAACAACCCAGACCGCCAGCUAAGGUCCCAAAGUCAUGGUUAAGUGGGAAACGAUGUGGGAAGGCCCAGACAGCCAGGAUGUUGGCUUAGAAGCAGCCAUCAUUUAAAGAAAGCGUAAUAGCUCACUGGUCGAGUCGGCCUGCGCGGAAGAUGUAACGGGGCUAAACCAUGCACCGAAGCUGCGGCAGCGACACUAUGUGUUGUUGGGUAGGGGAGCGUUCUGUAAGCCUGUGAAGGUGGCCUGUGAGGGUUGCUGGAGGUAUCAGAAGUGCGAAUGCUGACAUAAGUAACGAUAAAGCGGGUGAAAAGCCCGCUCGCCGGAAGACCAAGGGUUCCUGUCCAACGUUAAUCGGGGCAGGGUGAGUCGACUCCUAAGGCGAGGCCGAAAGGCGUAGUCGAUGGGAAACAGGUUAAUAUUCCUGUACUUGGUGUUACUGCGAAGGGGGGACGGAGAAGGCUAUGUUGGCCGGGCGACGGUUGUCCCGGUUUAAGCGUGUAGGCUGGUUUUCCAGGCAAAUCCGGAAAACCAAGGCUGAGGCGUGAUGACGAGGCACUACGGUGCUGAAGUGACAAAUGCCCUGCUUCCAGGAAAAGCCUCUAAGCAUCAGGUAACAUCAAAUCGUACCCCAAACCGACACAGGUGGUCAGGUAGAGAAUACCAAGGCGCUUGAGAGAACUCGGGUGAAGGAACUAGGCAAAAUGGUGCCGUAACUUCGGGAGAAGGCACGCUGAUAUGUAGGUGAAGCGACUUGCUCGUGGAGCUGAAAUCAGUCGAAGAUACCAGCUGGCUGCAACUGUUUAUUAAAAACACAGCACUGUGCAAACACGAAAGUGGAGGUAUACGGUGUGACGCCUGCCCGGUGCCGGAAGGUUAAUUGAUGGGGUUAGCGGUAACGCGAAGCUCUUGAUCGAAGCCCCGGUAAACGGCGGCCGUAACUAUAACGGUCCUAAGGUAGCGAAAUUCCUUGUCGGGUAAGUUCCGACCUGCACGAAUGGCGUAAUGAUGGCCAGGCUGUCUCCACCCGAGACUCAGUGAAAUUGAACUCGCUGUGAAGAUGCAGUGUACCCGCGGCAAGACGGAAAGACCCCGUGAACCUUUACUAUAGCUUGACACUGAACAUUGAGCCUUGAUGUGUAGGAUAGGUGGGAGGCUUUGAAGUGUGGACGCCAGUCUGCAUGGAGCCGACCUUGAAAUACCACCCUUUAAUGUUUGAUGUUCUAACGUUGGCCCGUAAUCCGGGUUGCGGACAGUGUCUGGUGGGUAGUUUGACUGGGGCGGUCUCCUCCUAAAGAGUAACGGAGGAGCACGAAGGUUGGCUAAUCCUGGUCGGACAUCAGGAGGUUAGUGCAAUGGCAUAAGCCAGCUUGACUGCGAGCGUGACGGCGCGAGCAGGUGCGAAAGCAGGUCAUAGUGAUCCGGUGGUUCUGAAUGGAAGGGCCAUCGCUCAACGGAUAAAAGGUACUCCGGGGAUAACAGGCUGAUACCGCCCAAGAGUUCAUAUCGACGGCGGUGUUUGGCACCUCGAUGUCGGCUCAUCACAUCCUGGGGCUGAAGUAGGUCCCAAGGGUAUGGCUGUUCGCCAUUUAAAGUGGUACGCGAGCUGGGUUUAGAACGUCGUGAGACAGUUCGGUCCCUAUCUGCCGUGGGCGCUGGAGAACUGAGGGGGGCUGCUCCUAGUACGAGAGGACCGGAGUGGACGCAUCACUGGUGUUCGGGUUGUCAUGCCAAUGGCACUGCCCGGUAGCUAAAUGCGGAAGAGAUAAGUGCUGAAAGCAUCUAAGCACGAAACUUGCCCCGAGAUGAGUUCUCCCUGAGACUUAGAGUCUCCUGAAGGAACGUUGAAGACGACGACGUUGAUAGGCCGGGUGUGUAAGCGCAGCGAUGCGUUGAGCUAACCGGUACUAAUGAACCGUGAGGCUUAACCUU